GCUACGGCCUCUCGCCAGUUGCGCUGCAAAGCAGGUGAAAAGAACACCCGGUGUAACCAAAGAAGAACCACUGUUCCCGGAUGGUAACACCAAGUGGCGCUGUAGCGGAAAACCAAGCAUGGCAAGCAAGAAAACCAAGCAAGGAAAACCAAGCAUGGAUGACUUUUCGGAAACGGCGGCAUUCCUAGCUGACAGGCUGUCAGACUGUCGGAUCGGUGGGACGAGCCUCCGCUGGAUGGAUGGGAAAUGCCAGUCAGCAGACUGGGGCCUUGUGUCACACACGGUGCGGUGCCGCAGCCAGCCUGCAGAGCGUCAGAUAGAGUAAACCUGACGGAUUAUUGAGAUCAACGCCCGGUACAAAAAAACAUUGUCUCUGACGCGUCAUCUCCUAAACAUCAAUGACGGCAUUGAGGGCAGCCUGUGAACAACAUACGUGUACUUGUCGCUAGUUACUUUUCCAGACACCUUGGUUCUCACCUACAUACAUGUAGCUGUUACACCUAUGUCCACAUCACGGCUGGAAGAGCGUCAAAAAGGGCGUCUGGGCGAAAA
Molecule: long non-coding RNA, 552 nt
Organism: Pollicipes pollicipes
Lineage: Eukaryota; Metazoa; Arthropoda; Thecostraca; Pollicipedomorpha; Pollicipedidae
Exons: 3
Source: RefSeq, a predicted model, not a curated record